AUCCAGCUGACGAGUCCAAAAUAGGACUAAACGCGCGUCCUGAAU
RNAcentral lists this non-coding RNA (45 nucleotides) under Schistosoma mansoni. Lineage: Eukaryota; Metazoa; Platyhelminthes; Trematoda; Strigeidida; Schistosomatidae. The record is from RNAcentral.